AGCGUGGCCUAUCGAUCCUUUAGA
This 24-nucleotide non-coding RNA is filed under the name Arabidopsis thaliana (thale cress). The record is from RNAcentral. Lineage: Eukaryota; Viridiplantae; Streptophyta; Magnoliopsida; Brassicales; Brassicaceae. RNAcentral also lists the same sequence under 2 other names.